RNAcentral lists this long non-coding RNA (905 nucleotides) under Marmota monax (woodchuck). Lineage: Eukaryota; Metazoa; Chordata; Mammalia; Rodentia; Sciuridae. The record is from RNAcentral.
GAGGACUGUGGGUGGGGCUUCUGUGAAGUGUGGAGCCACCCAGGCUUCCUCUGCUGGGAUCUCUAAACACCUUGCUCCUACCAGCCUCCAACCUCACCGUCCCUCUCCCCAGGGCCCUGUCCUAGUUCAAAUGUAAAUUCUGAGAGGACAGAGAAAAUGAGAAGAAGCAAAGGGAACUACUGACUUAACUGCUCUGUAUUUAGGUUCGCUCAUCUGUAGUUUGUGUGUGUGAGAGGAAAAAUGCAUCAGGGCAAGCCAAGUGUUUAGAGAAAUAGCUGGUGCAAAGUAAUUGCUCAAUAACUGUUAGCUGUUAUUUAUUUAUUUGGAACUUAAUAUAGAUUCACUUCCAUACUAAGAGGACACAGAGUUGAAAAGACCCAAUGGCUGCCGCAGUCCAGUGAUGGAGAAGAUGUAGAAAUACACUAUGGUAAUACACUGUGUGUUAGAGAUAAUGGUGAGAAAUUGGAAACAGUGAUUCUUAUCAACAGUAGGACAUUAGCUCUGCAACAUUUAGACAGAGGAAUAUUUUGCAUAUUUAAUGAGAAAACAAGCCUAUGUGGAAAGAUGUUCACCCUAUAGAAUGUUUAUACAAUACUUCUUUUAAUAUGUUUAGGAGAAAGAGAUGGUUAUAACUGGUAGAGAAUGAUUUCAUAGAAAUUAAAUAAUGAGAACAAGCUUGGACAAAUCAAACUGUUAAUGGUUAUUGCUGGGUGGGAAGUUUGUGCACAUUUUUUUUUUUUCUCUAACGGUCCUUCUGAACACUUUUAACACUUUUCUGUAGUCAUCCUGUAUAACUGGUAGCAAAAGUGAGAAGUUUCUUAAAAUGAGAAGGAAAUACUGCAACGUCUCCAGUCUAGAGGAAUAAACGAAGGCUGAGAUGAGAGAAGAUGGAUGUGAAAAAUUUA